RNAcentral lists this long non-coding RNA (2034 nucleotides) under Gallus gallus (chicken). RNAcentral describes it as "lncRNA (ENSGALG00010018599.1)". Lineage: Eukaryota; Metazoa; Chordata; Aves; Galliformes; Phasianidae. The record is from RNAcentral.
CCUCCCCUUAAAAACAAACCUUCAGCCAAGCAGCGCGCCUCGGGAAAGCCGUGAAAAAAGGGAGAAAGGGACCGAGGAAAACAAAAGAAAGCGGGGCGGAGGAGGCUGAGCGCUCCCGCGCGGCCUCUCCUCGCCGCGGUCCGAGCUGUGGGACGGAGAGGCCGUGCCGCCGCCGAGGAGAAGCAGCAGGCCGCGCGCAGGGAGUGCACUGCGCGUGCGCGGGGCGGGGCGCGCAUGCGCCGUUUGGCGCAGUGGGCCGCGUGGGACGCGGUGCGCGCUGUGCGCUGUCAGCUCAGCGCCAGGCGGCUGUCAGCACAGAGCUGCCCUCAGCGAGCGGGAGGGCCGCUCAGAAAGAAGUGGAUCGGGAUGGCAAAGACGCUACCAAUUGGAUAGCGGGGAUCUGCGUUAAAAAAAAAAAAAAAAAAAAAAAGCCUGGCGCGCCUAUCUGUGAUCCCUCGCGGGCGGGAGGAGAACUGUAGCGCUGCGGAAGCAGAGUUGCAAACCCAUCCUGCAGAAAAAGCAGCGUCAGAAACGCGGCAGCACCGCCCGCCCUGCCAGCACGUGCAGCUGCCUUCCGCCGCCGCCGCCCCGUACCGCCCCCGGCACGGCCGCCGCCGCCUCCAUUCUCCUCCUCCUCCUCCUCCUCCUCCUCGUCGUCCCGCUGCUGCGGCGCUGGGCAGGAAGCCGCUCGCCGCCUCCCGCCGCCACCAGCACAGCUGCUGCCUGAAGAUGCGCUGCCUUUCGCACGAGGAAGAAGUUUUAAAAUAGAUGGCUUUUAAGCGGCGCUGCGUCUCCCGGCCUGCAGCCAUCCCUGCUGUCAUCAGCCCUCCUUGCCGGACGGCACCGGAACGCACGAGUGGCCCCGUUGAUGUCAGUCGAGCUGUUUGAAUGGGAGCUGUUAGGAGGGUUGCAGAACGUCGUGCUCUGCGUUUGUUCGUUAGCAAAAGACAUCAGCUCCCGCGGGCUCAGUCACAGAAACGUUCAGCGAGCAUCGAUGAAUGUCAGUGGCUGCAAUUCUUUCCCACGUGGAGGAGUUCAAUUUCACACCUUUGCUUCAUGCACGCGCCUGUGUUAGAUGCCACGUUGUCAGGCUGCCCCUCUGCUGCCAUCUGUCACACAGCGACAACAUGUAAUAGAACGUUGGUGGGAAGGUUCAACCUCUACUGCGGUACCACCACCAUCUGCCUCUGAUGUUGUGGGCCAACAUCAUAAAACAGGAGGCACUACUUUCGGAGCAACCCUCGUACGUUACACCUGGUAUUUCGCUAGUCUGUAUCUUUGCCUCAGAUAAGCGAAUGUGAUAUGGCUGGUGAACACUGCUGAUGGCACAGAAUCGUUAAGGCUGGAAAAGACCACUGAGAUCAUCUCGUCCAACCGUCAGCCCAUCCCACCAUGCCCACAGACCACGUCCCUCUGUGCCACAUCUCUCACACUUCCCUGGCCAGUCUGUUCCAAUGCCCCGCCGCUCUUUCUGAGCAGAAACUGUUCCUAAUAUCCAACUCAAACUCUCUCAGGCACAAUUUAAGGCCGUUACCUCUCAUCCUAUCUGGUCCGGUUUCCCAGGAUGGGCCAAAAUACAAGGCUGUAAAGAAAGCAGCCCUGUGGCUGUAAUUUAAGAGAACGUUAUAUCUGCUUGGAAAAAAAGUGUGACUCUGAAAAUUACACGGCAGAGAAUUCAAAGUAUGGAUGGCAACAGUAAAAAAAAAUAAUUAAAAAAAUGGCUCUAAAAUUGUUUCCUUGUUGCCUGAUCUGUUGAAAUUCUGCAUGAGGAUGAGACAGGAAGGUGUUCACUGUAAAGCCAUCAACAUUAAUGGUCGUUUUGCUGUUGUCUCCACUGGGAGUAGGUUUAGAAACUAUUUCACGCUGCUUUCUUCUAUAAAAUAACACGAAACUACAUAUGCAUAGUUCUGCAGUGUCCACAGAGGAAAGGAAGUUCCCUUUGCCUGACUGCGUGCAAUAGGGCACAUAGCAGAGAAAACAGAAGGGUACACAGAUAAGGCAGUUCAGAUAAUGCAGAAGUUCACUUCUGUAGCC